This 595-nucleotide long non-coding RNA is filed under the name Pongo abelii (Sumatran orangutan). Its description in RNAcentral is "lincRNA". The record is from RNAcentral. Lineage: Eukaryota; Metazoa; Chordata; Mammalia; Primates; Hominidae.
AGUCCCCUGGGCUUCCUGCAGGGACCUGGAUUCUUAGUAUUUCAGGCUGCUGUCCCGUUUUUUUUUUUUUCAUUUCCUUUUUGUUUUUGUUGUUGAUGUGACCGCGUGUCCACAAACCUGGGAUUCCCUCGCCCUCAGAUUCCAGAAUCCAAUUUCUUGGAUUUCAGUGUUUUUAAGGUGGGAGGUCUCGCUGUGCUUCUCAGGCUGGACUCAAAUUCCUGGGCUCAAGUGACUCCCCCGCCUCAGCCUCCUGAGUAGCUGGGACUACAGAGAUGGCAUGUCAGUCUGGUGGUCUAGCCAGAGGAGGACUCCUGGAGCUGGUGAACUGUGCAUGGAUAUGCAGUCAUGGGCAGCCCACCUCCUACUCCUCACCCCCCAGUGCCUGCAAGGGUCUGUCAUCUCCACCUUCGGGAUCUGGCCAGCCAGCUCGAUCAGCUUGUCCCAAGGGUUGCUUGGGCUACACCUUACACUGAGACAUCUCAUAAUUUGCAGCUAGACUUGCUGCUCAGGAGAGUGGAGCCUGCAGGAAACAAUGGCAGGAGAUCUGGGCUUUUUCUGGCUGCAGGCCUGACUGCAGCAGAGAAGGCAAUAGAGA